AAACGGGUUAAUAUUCCCGUACUUGGUGUUACUGCGAAGGGGGGACGGAGAAGGCUAUGUUGGCCGGGCGACGGUUGUCCCGGUUUAAGCGUGUAGGUGUGUGUUCCAGGUAAAUCCGGUUCACUUUAACACUGAGGCGUGACGACGAGGCACUACGGUGCUGAAGCAACAAAUGCCCUGCUUCCAGGAAAAGCCUCUAAGCAUCAGGUAACAUCAAAUCGUACCCCAAACCGACACAGGUGGUCAGGUAGAGAAUACCAAGGCGCUUGAGAGAACUCGGGUGAAGGAACUAGGCAAAAUGGUGCCGUAACUUCGGGAGAAGGCACGCUGACACGUAGGUGAAGUGAUUUACUCAUGGAGCUGAAGUCAGUCGAAGAUACCAGCUGGCUGCAACUGUUUAUUAAAAACACAGCACUGUGCAAACACGAAAGUGGACGUAUACGGUGUGACGCCUGCCCGGUGCCGGAAGGUUAAUUGAUGGGGUCAGCGCAAGCGAAGCUCCUGAUCGAAGCCCCGGUAAACGGCGGCCGUAACUAUAACGGUCCUAAGGUAGCGAAAUUCCUUGUCGGGUAAGUUCCGACCUGCACGAAUGGCGUAAUGAUGGCCAGGCUGUCUCCACCCGAGACUCAGUGAAAUUGAACUCGCUGUGAAGAUGCAGUGUACCCGCGGCAAGACGGAAAGACCCCGUGAACCUUUACUAUAGCUUGACACUGAACAUUGAGCCUUGAUGUGUAGGAUAGGUGGGAGGCUUUGAAGUGUGGACGCCAGUCUGCAUGGAGCCGACCUUGAAAUACCACCCUUUAAUGUUUGAUGUUCUAACGUGGACCCGUGAUCCGGGUUGCGGACAGUGUCUGGUGGGUAGUUUGACUGGGGCGGUCUCCUCCUAAAGAGUAACGGAGGAGCACGAAGGUUGGCUAAUCCUGGUCGGACAUCAGGAGGUUAGUGCAAUGGCAUAAGCCAGCUUGACUGCGAGCGUGACGGCGCGAGCAGGUGCGAAAGCAGGUCAUAGUGAUCCGGUGGUUCUGAAUGGAAGGGCCAUCGCUCAACGGAUAAAAGGUACUCCGGGGAUAACAGGCUGAUACCGCCCAAGAGUUCAUAUCGACGGCGGUGUUUGGCACCUCGAUGUCGGCUCAUCACAUCCUGGGGCUGAAGUAGGUCCCAAGGGUAUGGCUGUUCGCCAUUUAAAGUGGUACGCGAGCUGGGUUUAGAACGUCGUGAGACAGUUCGGUCCCUAUCUGCCGUGGGCGCUGGAGAACUGAGGGGGGCUGCUCCUAGUACGAGAGGACCGGAGUGGACGCAUCACUGGUGUUCGGGUUGUCAUGCCAAUGGCACUGCCCGGUAGCUAAAUGCGGAAGAGAUAAGUGCUGAAAGCAUCUAAGCACGAAACUUGCCCCGAG
RNAcentral lists this ribosomal RNA (1397 nucleotides) under Salmonella enterica. RNAcentral's name for it is "partial 23S ribosomal RNA". It matches the Rfam family "Bacterial large subunit ribosomal RNA", at positions 1422 to 2803 of the family's 2925-position model. The record is from RNAcentral. Lineage: Bacteria; Pseudomonadati; Pseudomonadota; Gammaproteobacteria; Enterobacterales; Enterobacteriaceae.